Molecule: long non-coding RNA, 1336 nt
Filed under: Manihot esculenta (cassava)
Lineage: Eukaryota; Viridiplantae; Streptophyta; Magnoliopsida; Malpighiales; Euphorbiaceae
Description: long non-coding RNA (MESC_LNC002110)
Source: RNAcentral
UUUUCAUUUUAGAAAAUAAAAAGUAAAAUUUUUUAUUACAAUGUUAAAAAUUUUGGUCAACUUGUUGAUAGUAGAAACGUGAAAGGAAAUAAUACUAAAAUAUUAAAUAUCUUUUUUAUAUUGUUUAGUAUUCUCCUUAUUUUGUAAACUUUACUUUUCUAAUGCUGUUUUGAUUAGGGAUGUCAGUCGGGCGGGUUUUCGCGGGUAUCCGAUUCGCCCAAACCCUAUUAGGACGGAUUUGGGUUUUUACAAAACGGAUUUGGGCGGGUUCGAAUUUGAAAAAUGCUACCCGUCUCGGAUUCGGGUAGGGUUCGGGAAUAGGUGCUCGGAUACCCGUUACCCGAACCCGAUUAGCUAUAUUAACAAAACUAAGUGAAGUAACCCUAAUCCCUAAUUCCUUUUUUCAUUUUACUCUGCUUUCCUCUCUUUGUCGGCGCCUCUCUCCCUCGCUUCCCUUCCCAUAGUUCUCAGUCACGCCUCUCCCCCACUUCACUGACGACUGCCGGCAGCCCAGUCGGCACCGGCGACGUCUCAUUUCUCUUCCCAGUCAGCGAUCUCCCCAGUCAGCGAUAUCUCCUUCUCUCUCUCCAGCGGCGACAUCUCCGACUUCCCAGUUGGAGACAACUCUUCCCUCUCCCCGGUCGGCAUCGGCGAUAUCUCCUUCUCUCUCUCCAGUCGGUGACAUCUACUCUUUUCAAUUGACGCUUCUCUCCUCCACUUCACUGAUGCUAGAGACAACCCUUCCCCUCCUCAAUCGGCGUCGGCGACAUCUCCUGGAACUCUCUUCAGGUUUACAAUUAAAUUUUUUGAUAAUCAAGAUCUUUUGUGUGUAUGUUCUUAAAAAAUUUUUAGUUGCUAUUAAAGAUUUUUAGAAUUUAGGAACUAUUUAUCUAAUUAUUUAGAUACUGUUAAAAAAUCUAAUUAUUUGCUAUUUGAUUAAUGUAAUACUGUUGAUUUUUAGAAUUUAUGGAAUUAAUCUGAUUAUAUGAUUAUAAAUCAUUAUUUGCAGGGUUGCUGAGUUGCUGAGUUGCUGGUUCUUGUUAUUGAACACACUGCUGGGUCUGCUGGGUUGUGCAACUGUUAGGUGUAGUUUAUUUGGCAGUUUUUCUCAUCGAAUUGAAUUAAAAAAAUCGGGUUCGGGUAUUGUGCGGGUAUUGUUAAACGGGUUCGGGACGGAUUCAGAUAGUAAAAAUAAAAUAUUAAACGGAUUUGGGACGGAUUCGGAUUUUGUAAAUAUAAUCGGGUUCGGAUUUGGAUACCCUGAAUUUCGCGGGUACCCUACCCGUUGCCAUCCCUAGUUUUGAUUAAAUGAUUGAUAUUUUUUUUUUGGACGAAG